GGUGGAAUUAUGGGCGGCGAGCGGCGGACGGGUGAGUAAUGCCUGGGAAUAUGCCCUGAUGUGGGGGAUAACCAUUGGAAACGAUGGCUAAUACCGCAUAAUCUCUUCGGAGCAAAGAGGGGGACCUUCGGGCCUCUCGCGUCAGGAUUAGCCCAGGUGGGAUUAGCUAGUUGGUGGGGUAACGGCUCACCAAGGCGACGAUCCCUAGCUGGUCUGAGAGGAUGAUCAGCCACACUGGAACUGAGACACGGUCCAGACUCCUACGGGAGGCAGCAGUGGGGAAUAUUGCACAAUGGGGGAAACCCUGAUGCAGCCAUGCCGCGUGUGUGAAGAAGGCCUUCGGGUUGUAAAGCACUUUCAGUCGUGAGGAAGGGUGUGCAGUUAAUAGCUGUACAUUUUGACGUUAGCGACAGAAGAAGCACCGGCUAACUCCGUGCCAGCAGCCGCGGUAAUACGGAGGGUGCGAGCGUUAAUCGGAAUUACUGGGCGUAAAGCGCAUGCAGGCGGUCUGUUAAGCGAGAUGUGAAAGCCCGGGGCUCAACCUCGGAACUGCAUUUCGAACUGGCAGGCUAGAGUCUUGUAGAGGGGGGUAGAAUUUCAGGCGUAGCGGUGAAAUGCGUAGAGAUCUGAAGGAAUACCGGUGGCGAAGGCGGCCCCCUGGACAAAGACUGACGCUCAGAUGCGAAAGCGUGGGGGAGCA
This 700-nucleotide ribosomal RNA is filed under the name uncultured bacterium. RNAcentral's name for it is "bacterial SSU rRNA". It matches the Rfam family "Bacterial small subunit ribosomal RNA", at positions 75 to 770 of the family's 1533-position model. The record is from RNAcentral.